GUUGUUCUGAGAUAUGCGCAUGGUUUCUAUUUUGAACCUACGUAAUGCAUGAGGGAGUCCAAUAAGACUGUUGGAUAUCAAGCCCAUAGUAAGCCCAGAAAUGGCAAGGGAAGAUAGAAGGAAUCUUGCGGACACCCACCUAUCGGGAGAUAGGUGUCAAAAUUGAAACGACGGUAUCUCAGAUCUGCC
This 189-nucleotide non-coding RNA is filed under the name Clostridiales bacterium. RNAcentral describes it as "6S RNA". It matches the Rfam family "6S / SsrS RNA". Rfam says of the family: E. coli 6S RNA was the first non coding RNA to be sequenced, but its function was unknown until recently. Lineage: Bacteria; Bacillati; Bacillota; Clostridia; Eubacteriales. The record is from RNAcentral.